This is a non-coding RNA of Schistosoma mansoni, 78 nucleotides long. NCBI's taxonomy places the organism in Eukaryota, Metazoa, Platyhelminthes, Trematoda, Strigeidida, Schistosomatidae. The record is from Rfam.
AGCUUUUUGAAUCCGUGCUGAGAUUUCGUCAGACACCAACCCAUUAAGGCUGAUGAGACUUCCAAGAUAAGUGAAGUU